Odocoileus virginianus texanus is the source of this 1309-nucleotide non-coding RNA. The record is from RefSeq and is a predicted model, not a curated record. Lineage: Eukaryota; Metazoa; Chordata; Mammalia; Artiodactyla; Cervidae.
CCCGGGAGCUGCAACUUCUGAGCCCACGUGGAGCAACGACUGAAGCCGUGCGCCCCAGAGCCCGUGCGCCCCAACAAGAGAAGCCCCCGCAGUGAGAGGCCCUCCGUCACAUCUGGAAAAAGGAGAAAGAAAUAUGUUUGCUCUAACAUGACGCAGAAAUCAAUGAUGAUGCUGCCUUAACUUGCUGAGCUUGGAGAAAGAGAAACGCUAGUAAAAUUUAAUACUCUGAAUCAUCAAAGGAUAAAUGGAAGAAGACAUCUUUAUAAACGCUCUCCAUCUCCUCAGAGAAAGCCAUAAAAGAAGAUAAAUUAAUGAGAAGAAGACCUACAGGAAGAAGGCGGUGUUCUGUGUUGGGAGGCCUGACCACCAUCAGGAGCAGAAAGGAACCCACCCAUGGGUUGGCUGUGGCCUCAGUUUCUUGAAAGAGGUUUAUGUUUAGCCAUUCAACAGACAAAGAAUAGCCAUUAAUUUUAUUCACAUCUAGCCUCCUACACCUAUCUUUGGAGAAAAGAACCUUUUGAGAGUUUCAGCUGUAUCUGGGACCAAAGGAAGUCCAGUUUUCACCAGGUUGACAUAGUAAAUCUCAUAAUAAGGUAACAGUGAUUCUACACACAAAAGGUAUAGUUCAUUUGGCACAACUGUCCUUUAACCUGAUGCCUCAUUAGGAGAUUUCAAGCAGCUCAUUUGCAGCAUAAAACCAUCAUUCUGGAGAAAAUUUCUUCAUGAGUAAUUAUACAAAAAUUAAAUAAACAUGCUGCCACCAAGUAAAUCCGUUAAAUUGUACUCUCACUAUAUCAGGGCCUCGAUUCAAUUGUCAUCUGUCUGUAAAUAUUAGAGAAGAAUUGGCCAUCACUUUCAGAAGAUAAUGACAGGCAGUUUUCCAGAUGUAAUUACUCAAAGACAGAACAGCAUUGUGUGGGCCGCAAAUGCUGACACAAAGGCUAUAGUCUGUGACUGAGGUGAAGUAAGGGCAUGGAAGAGGAAAUACUACUGUUACGCCCAUUACAAAUAUCAGGAAAAGACUGGGAGAAGACAGCGCUGCUGAGUUAAUGAAGGUGACAUUCCCACACGUAACUACAAUCCCAGUCACAGAGAGACAUUCUUCAGCGGCAAACAUCAUCAGAACCUAUCAAAUUUCCAUCAGGCUAAUGCGAUAAAUAUCGCAGAGGAAAGACGGAUGAGAGAUAAUUACUUAGAGCAGACCAGAACUUUUCCAGAGAAGAGACAAGGAUGUCAUGGAACCAAAUACGGCAGUUUUUCAGUUCGGAGGAAAUAGAAGAAGGACAGAUUCAGCGUGAAUGAAUGGGAU